RNAcentral lists this ribosomal RNA (357 nucleotides) under uncultured bacterium. RNAcentral's name for it is "bacterial SSU rRNA". It matches the Rfam family "Bacterial small subunit ribosomal RNA", at positions 535 to 896 of the family's 1533-position model. The record is from RNAcentral.
AAAGCGUUAUCCGGAAUCAUUGGGUUUAAAGGGUCCSYAGGCGGUCUUGUAAGUCAGUGGUGAAAGCCCAUCGCUCAACGGUGGAACGGCCAUUGAUACUGCAGGACUUGAAUUACUAGGAAGUAACUAGAAUAUGUAGUGUAGCGGUGAAAUGCUUAGAGAUUACAUGGAAUACCAAUUGCGAAGGCAGGUUACUACUAGUGGAUUGACGCUGAUGGACGAAAGCGUGGGUAGCGAACAGGAUUAGAUACCCUGGUAGUCCACGCCGUAAACGAUGGAUACUAGCUGUUGGGGGCAACUUCAGUGGCUAAGCGAAAGUGAUAAGUAUCCCACCUGGGGAGUACGUUCGCAAGAAUG